Molecule: long non-coding RNA, 779 nt
Organism: Vulpes vulpes (red fox)
Lineage: Eukaryota; Metazoa; Chordata; Mammalia; Carnivora; Canidae
Source: Ensembl
GUUGGACACAAAGGACUGUACUCCUUUGAGUCUCCAACUUUUAACAAACCCAUGUCUGAGCACAGCUAAUGAUAAAUUAUUUUACUUUGUCCAGGAGUGUGUCUGAGUUUCCUGCAGCAUCAGGAGAGGGAGAGACAGACACCAUGAUUCCUGCCAAGAUGCUACUGCUCUUGCUGUCAAUGUGUUUGCUGGCCUUGGGCUCUGCUCAGGGCAUCAGUGACGAUGAUGAAUUCUUGAAAGAAAAUCCAGAGGAAUCACAAGUGAAAUCUCAAGAAGAAAAUGGAGAUGAGAACAGCAAGCCAGACAAAGAUGGUCCAGGUGGCCCACAGAGACCAGCAGGCCAACAAGUUCCAGGUGGUCAACAGCGUCCAGGAGCCCAAGGUGGUCCAGGUGGCCCACAGGGUCCAGCGGGCCAACAGGGUCCAGGUGGCCAACAGCAUCCAGGAGCCCAAGGUGGUCCAGGUGGCCCACAGGGUCCAGCAGGCCAACAGGGCCCAGGUGGCCAACAGCGUCCAGGAGCCCAAGGUGGUCCAGGUGGCCCACAGGGUCCAGCAGGCCAACAGGGUCCAGGUGGCCAUCACCAUCCAGGAGCCCAAGGUGGUCCAGGAGGCCCACAGCGUCCAGCAGGCCAACAGGGUCCAGGUGGCCAACAGCGUCCAGGAGCCCAGAGAGUUCCAGGUGGCCCACAGGGUCCAGCAGGGCAACAUGGCCCAGGUGGCCAACAGGGCUCAGGUGGUCAAGGUGGUCCAGGUGGCCAGCGUGAUCAGCAUGGUGGCCAG